UUACCAGACUCCUACGGGAGGCAGCAGUGAGGAAUAUUGGUCAAUGGGCGAGAGCCUGAACCAGCCAAGUCGCGUGAGGGAGGACGGUCCUAUGGCUUGUAAACCUCUUUUGCCGGGGAGCAAAAAGCGGUACGUGUACCGCAUCGAGAGUACCCGGAGAAAAAGCAUCGGCUAACUCCGUGCCAGCAGCCGCGGUAAUACGGAGGAUGCGAGCGUUAUCCGGAUUUAUUGGGUUUAAAGGGUGCGUAGGCGGCCUUUUAAGUCAGCGGUGAAAGUCUGUGGCUCAACCAUAGAAUUGCCGUUGAAACUGGGGGGCUUGAGUAUGUUUGAGGCAGGCGGAAUGCGUGGUGUAGCGGUGAAAUGCAUAGAUAUCGCGCAGAACUCCGAUUGCGAAGGCAGCAUGCCGGCUCCACACUGACGCUGAGGCACGAAAGCGUGGGUAUCGAACAGGAUUAGAUACCCGGGUA
This 467-nucleotide ribosomal RNA is filed under the name uncultured bacterium. Its description in RNAcentral is "bacterial SSU rRNA". It matches the Rfam family "Bacterial small subunit ribosomal RNA", at positions 328 to 792 of the family's 1533-position model. The record is from RNAcentral.